Ornithodoros turicata is the source of this 1231-nucleotide long non-coding RNA. RefSeq lists it as uncharacterized. NCBI's taxonomy places the organism in Eukaryota, Metazoa, Arthropoda, Arachnida, Ixodida, Argasidae. The record is from RefSeq and is a predicted model, not a curated record. The transcript has 2 exons.
ACCGUCUAGAAGCCACCAGUCGUUUUUGGCUGUGGUGUUGGGAACAGCUUCCACAGUCAGACUGGAGAUAAGUGGUGACACUGAGGAUAUCUGGUUCCACCUAAUGACGAUAAGGCGGAUUUUUGUUCCUCAACAUUCUGGUAGACGGAGCCUGUACGAAAAGUGAGUGUAAGCUUCUUUCGCAGUGGCCGGCUUUCUCCAUUCGGCUCUGCAACAAGGGGUCUCAGUUAAGAGUUUGUCAGCGAAACGUUAGCGCUCUUAAACUGUAAAGUUGUUUCGCUGUGUAGCUAAGCUAGACAGAUGAAGAUAAACAAGCCUCAAGAGGAGCUACGCGCAUUUGUCUUCGAGUAUAGCUUUAAGUUAGGCUUAGCUGAGGCCCCCAUUCUGUUCGUCACAGAGCAACGGUCCCUGUCGUGGCUGACGCAGUUGAGCUUUGACGAACGGAAUGUUUUCUUUUUCGUGCGUCAACUGAAGAGGAACUUCGCGUUUCAGUUCGUAAGCCAAAUGGGCGUUACGACAAAGGUAAGAUGUAAGCCUCUGCGUCCACCUUCGAUUCCAAUUCCAUCGUGGUGAGGGCUAGCUUACGGACGCGCUGCUAGGUGCCGGGAAAUUUAACACCUGUUCGGGUUUGUUUGUAACUCGGUCACUUUCGUUAAUAAAAUGGUGUUCCUUUGUCUGUUUCUUUACUCAUCUGCCCCCCACCCCUUGACGCAAACAUUCACUAGCUUCUUGGUUGAGGCAGGUACAUUUUGGCUGUCCUCGUUGCCUCAUUGUCAUUUUGCUUUGUCAUUUUAGAUUUUGUCUUGUACUUGACCGCCAUCGCAAUAAAACCUUGCUUCCUUAUCUUGACUUUGUCGUUCAUCAAUCCCUGAUACGCAAACAUGCACUAGCUUACGGGGUUGAGGUAGGUACAUUUUGACUACCCCCCCCCCCUUUUCCCUUGCAGAAUCUGCAGUCUGCUGCAGCGCAGCCUCGUUUCCCUGGUUCGUGGAAGGAGUUCGUCCUGCAAUGACCUCCAUCAGAACUUCGUGAAGUAUCUUUCACCUUAUUCUGUUGACUAUACUGGCUAAUUCUUUCCGUCUUUCUGCAGGGCGACAACGCAGAGCCCUUUCAGCAGCAACCCCACGAACUGUUCCCUACGUGGUGAAGACGCGAAUGAAGAAUCUUGGAGCCUUCUUUUGUACUGUUUCCUCUGUUAUUCCUUGUUACAAAAUAAACGUGUUCUCAUUUU